CAUUGAAACACCACUUCCUGUAUGAUCACCAAAGUUAAGCAAUGUCAAGCCUGGUCAGUUCCAAGAUAGGUGAGUGCUUGGGAAUACCAAGUGCUGUAAG
Acanthosepion pharaonis is the source of this 100-nucleotide non-coding RNA. The record is from the annotation of a GenBank genome assembly. Lineage: Eukaryota; Metazoa; Mollusca; Cephalopoda; Sepiida; Sepiidae.